AUUGAACGCUGGCGGCAGGCCUAACACAUGCAAGUCGAACGAGUGGCGGACGGGUGAGUAAUGUCUGGGAAACUGCCUGAUGGAGGGGGAUAACUACUGGAAACUGUAGCUAAUACCGCAUACCAUCGGAUGUGCCCAGAUGGGAUUAGCUAGUAGGUGGGGGAACGGCUCACCUAGGCGACGAUCCCUAGCUGUUCUGAGAGGAUGACCAGCCACACUGGAACUGAGACACGGUCCAGACUCCUACGGGAGGCAGCAGUGGGGAAUAUUGCGCAAUGGGGGCAAGCCUGAUGCAGCCAUGCCGCGUGUAUGAAGAAGGCCUUCGGGUUGUAAAGUACUUGCAGCGGGGAGGCGUUACUCGCAGAAGAAGCACCGGCUAACUCCGUGCCAGCAGCCGCGGUAAUUC
RNAcentral lists this ribosomal RNA (406 nucleotides) under uncultured bacterium. Its description in RNAcentral is "partial 16S ribosomal RNA". It matches the Rfam family "Bacterial small subunit ribosomal RNA", at positions 30 to 526 of the family's 1533-position model. The record is from RNAcentral.